AUACGGAGGAUGCGAGCGUUAUCCGGAUUUAUUGGGUUUAAAGGGUGCGUAGGCGGAUCAAUAAGUCAGUGGUGAAAUUCUGCAGCUUAACUGUAGACUUGCCAUUGAUACUGUUGGUCUUGAGUAUGGUCAAGGUAGGCGGAAUGUGUAAUGUAGCGGUGAGAUGCUUAGAUAUUACACAGAACACCGAUUGCGAAGGCAGCUUGCUGGGCCAAUACUGACGCUGAUGCACGAAAGCGUGGGGAUC
This 247-nucleotide ribosomal RNA is filed under the name uncultured bacterium. Its description in RNAcentral is "partial 16S ribosomal RNA". It matches the Rfam family "Bacterial small subunit ribosomal RNA", at positions 523 to 769 of the family's 1533-position model. The record is from RNAcentral.